CAAAAAGUAGUAUAAAUUUAUUACAUUUCGCUUACACCGAGACAAAGGCUUAAUGCCCUUUUUGA
This 65-nucleotide transfer RNA is filed under the name Gibbosula rochechouartii. Its description in RNAcentral is "tRNA-Val". The record is from RNAcentral. Lineage: Eukaryota; Metazoa; Mollusca; Bivalvia; Unionida; Margaritiferidae.